This 73-nucleotide transfer RNA is filed under the name Mesocricetus auratus (golden hamster). It matches the Rfam family "tRNA". Rfam says of the family: Transfer RNA (tRNA) molecules are approximately 80 nucleotides in length. Their secondary structure includes four short double-helical elements and three loops (D, anti-codon, and T loops). The record is from Rfam by way of RNAcentral. Lineage: Eukaryota; Metazoa; Chordata; Mammalia; Rodentia; Cricetidae.
GUCGAGAUGGCUCAGUGGUUAAGAGCAUUGGUUGCUCUUCCAAGGGACCUGAGUUCGAUCCUCAGCACCCACA